AUACGUAGGUGGCGAGCGUUGUCCGGAUUUACUGGGUGUAAAGGGCGUGUAGGCGGGAUAUCAAGUCAGGUGUGAAAUACCAAGGCUUAACCUUGGGGGUGCACUUGAAACUGGUAUUCUUGAGUGUCGGAGAGGAAAGCGGAAUUCCUAGUGUAGCGGUGAAAUGCGUAGAUAUUAGGAGGAACACCAGUGGCGAAGGCGGCUUUCUGGACGAUAACUGACGCUGAGGCGCGAAAGCGUGGGCAGCAAACAGGAUUAGAUACCCUGGUAGUCCACGCCGUAAACAAUGGAUACUAGGUGUAGGGGGUAUCGACCCCCCCUGUGCCGCAGUUAACACAAUAAGUAUCCCACCUGGGGAGUACGGCCGCAAGGUUGAA
This 377-nucleotide ribosomal RNA is filed under the name uncultured bacterium. RNAcentral's name for it is "bacterial SSU rRNA". It matches the Rfam family "Bacterial small subunit ribosomal RNA", at positions 523 to 898 of the family's 1533-position model. The record is from RNAcentral.